AAAAAACCGAGGACAAGAACGAGUAAUCCGUGAAAGCUCCGUCAAGAGAAGGUCUGGCCGGUGAAAAGACCAGGGAGCGUCCGGACGAAUGCCUCUUGGAGGGCCAGCCUGAAAUUCAGUAGGGUGGACGCAGCCGGCGUUAACGGAAGAAUGAGCGGAACAGAUCAUCUCUGUUCAAUAAAAGUGGAACCGCGCCUGAAGCGUCUUUUAA
This 211-nucleotide non-coding RNA is filed under the name Holdemania filiformis. RNAcentral's name for it is "T-box sequence". It matches the Rfam family "T-box leader". Rfam says of the family: Uncharged tRNA acts as the effector for transcription antitermination of genes in the T-box leader family. T-boxes are found upstream of many aminoacyl-tRNA synthetase genes and some amino acid biosynthetic genes usually in Gram-positive bacteria. The anticodon of a specific tRNA base pairs to a specifier sequence within the T-box motif, and the NCCA acceptor tail of the tRNA base pairs to a conserved bulge in the T-box antiterminator hairpin. The record is from RNAcentral. Lineage: Bacteria; Bacillati; Bacillota; Erysipelotrichia; Erysipelotrichales; Erysipelotrichaceae.